UACGAAGGGGGCUAGCGUUGCUCGGAAUCACUGGGCGUAAAGCGCACGUAGGCGGCUUUUUAAGUCAGGGGUGAAAUCCUGGAGCUCAACUCCAGAACUGCCUUUGAUACUGAGAAGCUCGAGUCCGGGAGAGGUGAGUGGAACUGCGAGUGUAGAGGUGAAAUUCGUAGAUAUUCGCAAGAACACCAGUGGCGAAGGCGGCCCACUGGUCCGGUACUGACGCUGAGGUGCGAAAGCGUGGAGAGCGAACAGG
This 253-nucleotide ribosomal RNA is filed under the name uncultured bacterium. Its description in RNAcentral is "partial 16S ribosomal RNA". It matches the Rfam family "Bacterial small subunit ribosomal RNA", at positions 524 to 776 of the family's 1533-position model. The record is from RNAcentral.